AGAACGUCGUGAGACAGUUCGGUCCUUAUCUGUCGCAGGCGGAAGAUAUUUGAAGGGAGCUGUCCUUAGUACGAGAGGACCAGGAUGGACAUACCGAUGGUGUAUCAGUUGUCACACCAGUGGCACGGCUGAGUAGCUAAGUAUGGAAGGGAUAAACGCUGAAAGCAUCUAAGUGUGAAGCCCACCCUAAGAUAAGAUAUCUCAUACCGUAAGGUAGUAAGAAUCCACGUAGACUAUGUGGUUGAUAGGUUGGAGCUGUAAGUGCAGUAAUGUAUUAAGGUGACCAAUACUAAUAAUUCGAGGGCUUAACCAC
This 313-nucleotide ribosomal RNA is filed under the name Clostridia bacterium. Its description in RNAcentral is "partial 23S ribosomal RNA". It matches the Rfam family "Bacterial large subunit ribosomal RNA", at positions 2613 to 2925 of the family's 2925-position model. Lineage: Bacteria; Bacillati; Bacillota; Clostridia. The record is from RNAcentral.